Molecule: long non-coding RNA, 1314 nt
Filed under: Capsicum annuum
Lineage: Eukaryota; Viridiplantae; Streptophyta; Magnoliopsida; Solanales; Solanaceae
Description: long non-coding RNA (CANN_LNC004065)
Source: RNAcentral
UUGAUAUCUCAAAUGUAUUACAAUUAGGGGCAUUUUAGUAAACUUACAUGUUAUCAUACCGUAUCAUACAUCAAACCAAACAAAAAAAUCUAUUAUUAAACCGCAGUAACGAUAGAGUUCAUCCAAACAUAAUACUGUACCAUACCAUACUAUAUAUGGUAGCAUACUACACCAUACCAUACAUUAUAAAACCAUGGCAAACCACCAUCCAAACAGGUUAUUAGGAUUGUAUGCAUGAAUCCUCACAAUACAUGUUACUCAGAAAUCAGAAUUGUGAAGAGUCGUGAUAAUUUGACUAGAUUUACGCUUGUUGUCAACUUAACUGCCACCCUCCUCCUUUAUCCCGCUUGGGACAAAUAAACUUAAAGAUCUAAACAUUAAUCAAACAUCAUGACUAUGGUGAUGAGGUGAAGAAGCAGGCAUUGCUAUGCAGGUCGGAUUUCGGUCCCCAGGCAUGAUGAUGACAAUCCUAUUAUGAUCAUGUUGAUCAGCAACUGGUGCAGUCGAUGAUCGUUCAGUCUUUUCUGACGAAGUUUCCCGUUCACCGUAGAAACAUUUUACCAGGCAAUGGAGAGCCAUCAGUCCGAAGAUAAACGCGGCGACGCCAUCGAUGAUGUAGGUCAAUUUUGUAUUAUGGUGCACAGUGCUACCAUCUUCACCAUAGUCCAUAGCUAUGUUAACUUGUUUGUUGUGUACUUGGCAAAUUAAGAAUGUGGAACUUUUAAGUAGCUGAAUGAAUUAGUAGGCAAAGAAUGUUGCUACACUUUGAUGUCCUGUUGAUAAGUACCAAAAAGCAAGAAUGAAUAAAAUAAAUUUGCAGAUAUAAAUUAAAAUUGUGGUUGGACAACCUCACGAUUUUACAUGCUAUCUUACUUUGAUAUUGUAUGUUAUAUGAAAAUUGAUACUUAUAAAACAAUUUUAAAAAACGUUGGAAAGAAAUUGAUAAAACACAUAAAUUUCUGUUUGAAAUAGAAAGAGCACUAUUAAUCUUUGUACUAGCUAGAAUUAUACCUUUAGGCCUUCUACUCAACUUUUGGAGAAGCUACAACAAGAUGAUGGUGGAAAUUAAAUUACCUUCAGUUCAUCUUGAAGCUAACCCUGUUGAGGCUCAGGUUUUUUGAUUGGAGAUUUGUAGGGUUGAAAAGCAAGAAAUUAAAGUCUUAAUUAGUUGGGGAAUUGGGGUCGGUUGGUGAAUCCACGCGUCUUCACCAUGCAAACAUGUGUACUGUUAACCGCUAUACUAUUCGUGUGAGUUCUUUGUUGUUCAAAUCAAGAAAUCAACUAUUGAUGUAUGUCCUAUUUGUGAGAAUAAAG